RNAcentral lists this ribosomal RNA (428 nucleotides) under uncultured bacterium. Its description in RNAcentral is "bacterial SSU rRNA". It matches the Rfam family "Bacterial small subunit ribosomal RNA", at positions 354 to 796 of the family's 1533-position model. The record is from RNAcentral.
GUUAGGAAUUUUGCGCAAUGGGAGAAAUCCUGACGCAGCAACGCCGCGUGAGGGAUGAAGGCCUUCGGGUUGUAAACCUCUUUUAGCAGGGAAGAACAAAAUGACGGUACCUGCAGAAAAAGCACCGGCUAACUCUGUGCCAGCAGCCGCGGUAAUACAGAGGGUGCAAGCGUUAUUCGGAAUUAUUGGGCGUAAAGCGCAUGUAGGCGGUUUAAUAAGUCCGGUGUGAAAGCCCUGGGUACAACUCAGGAAGUGCACCGGAUACUGUUAGGCUAGAGUAUGGGAGAGGAGAGUGGAAUUCCAGGUGUAGAGGUGAAAUUCGUAGAUAUCUGGAGGAACAACAGUGGCGAAGGCGACUCUCUGGACCAUUACUGACGCUGAGAUGCGAAAGCGUGGGGAGCAAACAGGAUUAGAAACCCGGGUAGUCC